AGCGUACACGGUGGAUGCCCUGGCAGUCAGAGGCGAUGAAGGACGUGCUAAUCUGCGAUAAGCGUCGGUGAGGUGAUAUGAACCGUUAUAACCGGCGAUUUCCGAAUGGGGAAACCCAGUGUGUUUCGACACACUAUCAUUAACUGAAUCCAUAGGUUAAUGAGGCGAACCGGGGGAACUGAAACAUCUAAGUACCCCGAGGAAAAGAAAUCAACCGAGAUUCCCCCAGUAGCGGCGAGCGAACGGGGAGGAGCCCAGAGCCUGAAUCAGUGUGUGUGUUAGUGGAAGCGUCUGGAAAGGCGUGCGAUACAGGGUGACAGCCCCGUACACAAAAAUGCACAUAUUGUGAGCUCGAUGAGUAGGGCGGGACACGUGGUAUCCUGUCUGAAUAUGGGGGGACCAUCCUCCAAGGCUAAAUACUCCUGACUGACCGAUAGUGAACCAGUACCGUGAGGGAAAGGCGAAAAGAACCCCGGCGAGGGGAGUGAAAAAGAACCUGAAACCGUGUACGUACAAGCAGUGGGAGCCUCUUAAUGGGGUGACUGCGUACCUUUUGUAUAAUGGGUCAGCGACUUAUAUUCUGUAGC
Molecule: ribosomal RNA, 587 nt
Filed under: Escherichia coli
Lineage: Bacteria; Pseudomonadati; Pseudomonadota; Gammaproteobacteria; Enterobacterales; Enterobacteriaceae
Description: partial 23S ribosomal RNA
Rfam family: Bacterial large subunit ribosomal RNA
Source: RNAcentral